Oncorhynchus tshawytscha (Chinook salmon) is the source of this 350-nucleotide long non-coding RNA. The record is from Ensembl. NCBI's taxonomy places the organism in Eukaryota, Metazoa, Chordata, Actinopteri, Salmoniformes, Salmonidae.
CUCCUGGCUGGCUGGUGGUUUCAGCAGAUCCUGGCUGACUGGCAGAUCCUGGCUGACUGGCAGAUCCUGGCUGACUGGCAGAUCUGGAAGAGUCUGGUUGACUGGCAGAUCUGGAAGAGUCUGGUUGACUGGCAGAUCUGGAAGAGUCAGGUUGACUGGCAGAUCUGGAAGAGUCAGGUUGACUGGCAGAUCUGGAAGAGUCAGGUUGACUGGCAGAUCUGGAAGAGUCAGGUUGACUGGCAGAUCUGGAAGAGUCUGGUUGACUGGCAGAUCUGGAAGAGUCUGGCUGACUGGCAGAUCUGGAAGAGUCUGGCUGACUGGCAGAUCUGGAAGAGUCUGGCUGACUGGCA